CGAGUCUUGUAGCAAUACAAGGCAUACAGCUCAGUAACGCGUAGUCCACCUAACCUAUGGACGGGAAUAACCUCGGGAAACUGAGAAUAAUGCCCGAUAGAACAUUAUGCCUGGAAUGGUUUAUGUUCCAAAUGAUUUAUCGCCGUAGGAUGGGACUGCGGCCUAUCAGUUUGUUGGUGAGGUAAUGGCCCACCAAGACUAUUACAGGUACGGGCUCUGAGAGGAGUAGCCCGGAGAUGGGUACUGAGACACGGACCCAGGCCCUAUGGGGCGCAGCAGGCGAGAAAACUUUGCAAUGUGCGAAAGCACGACAAGGUUAAUCCGAGUGGUUUCUGCUAAAGAAACCUUUUGUCAGUCCUAGAAACACUGAUGAAUAAGGGGUGGGCAAGUUCUGGUGUCAGCCGCCGCGGUAAAACCAGCACCUCAAGUGGUCAGGAUGAUUAUUGGGCCUAAAGCAUCCGUAGCCGGCUCUGUAAGUUUUCGGUUAAAUCUGUACGCUCAACGUACAGGCUGCCGGGAAUACUGCAGAGCUAGGGAGUGGGAGAGGUAGACGGUACUCGGUAGGAAGGGGUAAAAUCUUUUGAUCUAUUGAUGACCACCUG
This 602-nucleotide ribosomal RNA is filed under the name uncultured crenarchaeote. RNAcentral's name for it is "bacterial SSU rRNA". It matches the Rfam family "Archaeal small subunit ribosomal RNA", at positions 54 to 663 of the family's 1478-position model. The record is from RNAcentral. Lineage: Archaea; Thermoproteati; Thermoproteota.